RNAcentral lists this long non-coding RNA (497 nucleotides) under Brassica napus (rape). RNAcentral's name for it is "long non-coding RNA (BNAP_LNC019194)". Lineage: Eukaryota; Viridiplantae; Streptophyta; Magnoliopsida; Brassicales; Brassicaceae. The record is from RNAcentral.
GUCGACUGAGCUUGGAGUCUUCUGUGGCAGCACGUGGUGGACCUCGAGAUUGCAUUGCAUCUGAGAUGUCUCAUCAGUGGUUCUGUCUUUCUAGGGCAGCUUUAGAACAGUGGCAGCGUGUUUUUUGGUGUAUGAGGUAGGUAUGUUCUCCUUCGAUCGGACUCGGCUUAUGUACCGAUACGGAUGAUGCCUUCCCGGUUGUGAGGUUUGUGUGGGCUUCGACUAUCUUUUGUGAGGCGUUCAUUGGGAAUCCCGCAAUCUACCACGCUCGUACUCCGGCUUUAACUGCAGUCUUUAUCCCCUCAACGGCUGCAAGAUGUCUCUUGCUUCCUCUCCCUUCAGUUUGGGCGCUUCCGUAAUUGGUCGAAGAGAUGGUGGUCUGAUUGGCGUUUUUUCACUCUGUCUUUUGUUUCUUUGUUUCUUAUUGCAAAUCUGUUUUUUGUAUGUCUCUGUACUUCUGUCUCAAACUCAGAAAAUGGUAAUAAACUUAACAUUUU